Spea bombifrons (plains spadefoot toad) is the source of this 581-nucleotide long non-coding RNA. RefSeq lists it as uncharacterized. The transcript is spliced from 2 exons. The record is from RefSeq and is a predicted model, not a curated record. Lineage: Eukaryota; Metazoa; Chordata; Amphibia; Anura; Pelobatidae.
UUUUUUACUUUUUUUUUUUUUACAUUUUUUUAGGUUUUUUUUAUUUUUUUUUUAUUAGAGCCAUUAACCCUUUCCUUCCCCACUAUUUUUGCUGCAAUUGUUACCAUGCAGCGGUAUACGGCUGAGGAGGCAUGUUCCAAAUGUGGCCCUUUUGGCCCCAAACAAUCUGACAAACCCAUGCAUGUGGGGUAUCAAUGUACUCAGGAGAUCAAAAACAAUUACUAUCACAAACUUUGACAAGGGUUGGUGGUAGGAUUAGUGCAUGGAAAGGGUUAAGCUAUCAGCAUCUAAAAUACCCUGGGGUGUCUAGUUUUCAAAAAUAUAUGGUUUGGUGGGGUAAAUUUAAUUUCCUGGCUUCAAAGAUGCCCCAAAUACCACAUGGAGACAGAAUUACCAGAUUCAGAGAAAAAUGGUUUUGAAUUAGCAAAACGCUACUUGUACUUAUUGCCCCAUAACGUGUAGAAGAAAGCAAAAAAACAUAAAAACAUUGGGUAUUUCUAAACUCGGGACAAAUAGUAGAAUCUAUUUAGCAGGUUUUUUCAGUAGUUUUUUAUGAUGAAUAAAAGAUUUUUCAAAUAAAA